CCUANGGGGGGCUGCAGCGAGGGAUUUUGCGCAAUGGACGAAAGUCUGACGCAGCAACGCCGCGUGAGGGAUGAAGGCCUUAGGGUCGUAAACCUCUUUUGCAGGGGAAGAAGAUCUGACGGUACCCUGCGAAUAAGCCACGGCUAACUACGUGCCAGCAGCCGCGGUAAUACGUAGGUGGCAAGCGUUGUCCGGAUUUACUGGGCGUAAAGCGCGCGCAGGCGGCUUGUUAAGUCUGCUGUAAAAUCUCCCGGCUCAACCGGGAGGGGCCAGCAGAUACUGGCAGGCUUGAGGCAAGCAGAGGAAGGUGGAAUUCCCGGUGUAGUGGUGAAAUGCGUAGAUAUCGGGAGGAACACCAGUGGCGAAGGCGGCCUUCUGGGCUUGUCCUGACGCUGAGGCGCGAAAGCGUGGGGAGCGAACCGGAUUAGAUACCUUNUANUC
This 441-nucleotide ribosomal RNA is filed under the name uncultured bacterium. RNAcentral describes it as "bacterial SSU rRNA". It matches the Rfam family "Bacterial small subunit ribosomal RNA", at positions 338 to 795 of the family's 1533-position model. The record is from RNAcentral.